ACUACGGGAGGCAGCAGUGAGGAAUAUUGGUCAAUGGGAGAGAUCCUGAACCAGCCAAGCCGCGUGAGGGAAGACGGCCCUAUGGGUUGUAAACCUCUUUUGUCGGAGAACAAAACCCGGGACGUGUCCCGGACUGCGUGUAUCCGAAGAAAAAGCAUCGGCUAACUCCGUGCCAGCAGCCGCGGUAAUACGGAGGAUGCGAGCGUUAUCCGGAUUUAUGGGGUUUAAAGGGUGCGUAGGCGGUCCGUUAAGUCAGCGGUAAAAUUGCGGGGCUCAACCCCGUCGAGCCGUUGAAACUGGCAGACUUGAGUUGGCGAGAAGUACGCGGAAUGCGCGGUGUAGCGGUGAAAUGCAUAGAUAUCGCGCAGAACUCCGAUUGCGAAGGCAGCGUACCGGCGCCAGACUGACGCUGAGGCACGAAAGCGUGGGGAUCGAACAGGAUUAGAUACCCCAGUAGUC
This 459-nucleotide ribosomal RNA is filed under the name uncultured bacterium. RNAcentral's name for it is "partial 16S ribosomal RNA". It matches the Rfam family "Bacterial small subunit ribosomal RNA", at positions 338 to 795 of the family's 1533-position model. The record is from RNAcentral.